This 225-nucleotide ribosomal RNA is filed under the name uncultured Actinomycetales bacterium. RNAcentral describes it as "partial 16S ribosomal RNA". It matches the Rfam family "Bacterial small subunit ribosomal RNA", at positions 105 to 334 of the family's 1533-position model. Lineage: Bacteria; Bacillati; Actinomycetota; Actinomycetes; Actinomycetales. The record is from RNAcentral.
GGUGAGUAACACGUGGGUGAUCUGCCCUGCACUUCGUGAUAAGCUUGGGAAACUGGGUCUAAUACCGGAUAGGAGUCAUCUUUAGUGUGGUGGUUGGAAAGUUUUUCGGUGUAGGAUGAGCUCGCGGCCUAUCAGCUUGUUGGUGGGGUAAUGGCCUACCAAGGCGGCGACGGGUAGCCGGCCUGAGAGGGUGAUCGGCCACAUUGGGACUGAGAUACGGCCCAG